This 257-nucleotide ribosomal RNA is filed under the name uncultured bacterium. RNAcentral describes it as "partial 16S ribosomal RNA". It matches the Rfam family "Bacterial small subunit ribosomal RNA", at positions 524 to 776 of the family's 1533-position model. The record is from RNAcentral.
UACGGAGGGUGCAAGCGUUAUCCGGAUUUACUGGGUUUAAAGGGUGCGUAGGCGGGCCUUUAAGUCAGUGGUGAAAGCUCCGAGCUUAACUCGGAAACUGCCAUUGAUACUAUUGGUCUUGAAUUCGGUUUGAGGUUGGCGGAAGUGUGUCGUGUAGCGGUGAAAAUGCUUAGAUAUGACACAGAACACCGAUUGCGAAGGCAGCUAGCUAAACCGACAUUGACGCUGAGGCACGAAAGCGUGGGGGAUCAAACAGG